CCCUCCACUUAUCCCCGUGCCCAUCUGUGAUCUCCACCACCACCAUCUCUACCUCCACCGGCCUCUCCUAGCCCCGUCUAAGAUCCUCCCUCUCCGACCACCCCUUGCCGACGACCUCCUUUUCAUCCGUCUACCGACGGAUUCUCGCUGCUUCAUAUGGUCGCCGGUUUCGCUCCCGAUGCCGCGGCCGAUUUGUGGUCUCCGCAUGAUGUGGCCGACGCCCUGCGCGUUGUAGGAGCAGUUGGAGAGGCUGGGUAAAAGAGGAGGCGGCGCGGUGAGGAUCGAUCAUGUGGCUGAACUCGGUCCCCAAGUUUUUCUCCCGUCUGCGGCUCUGACAAGAAGAUGGUUGGCGGCGUGGCGAGGGUGCGAGGCUGCUGCAGAUUCUGGACGUGCGGGUGGUGGGCAGCGGGGAGAGCUUUGUUGGUGAUGUUGCCCGGCUUCGGACCACUCGGCGUGGAGGCGCGUGCUCCCGUGUUCUAACUUGUCGGGGCGGGGACGCAGCAAGGUUCGUCGGGUUGCUGCGACGGUGCAGUGAUGCUGCAACAAAUGAUCUUCACUGUCCGUGACGCGGAUGCCGCCGCGUGGAGGGACUUGAGGUUGCGGAAGCGGGAUUUAAAGGCUGUAGGGAAGCGUCACCAUGAUGCACGGUGUUGAGCUUAGCGAUCUGCUCAAAUUCCACGAAAUCAGUCGCCUCUGUGCGGAUGGUGUCCACGGUGGACAUCCCACCUCCUACUUUCACACUUUGGAAUAAGUCUUGGUAAACCAAUUCGCAAUUGAUUUUCCCUUGCUCCCUCUGAGAGUAUUCAGUAAUAAAUCCACAGGUUUAUAGCUUCACAUGCAAAAACACACACACGUUAGGCCUUUAUCUUGCUUAGUUGAGGCACUUGGCCAUUUUUAUCUGUUUACCUGUUUCAGUUUAAGGUUUGAAGUUCUUUUUGUUGUUUUAUACUUCCAAUUUGGCCUACUGUAUUUGUUUCAUAGUAUAUAGAUUAUCUACAUUAGUUCAACAUUUCUAAAAUAAUGUUAUCAUCUCUUUUUGGUGUUUUGUACUUACGUUGAGAAGCAGUUCAAACUGGCCCGCUAGAUCUUUUCGGUAGCAUAUAGUUUUUCCUUCCAUUCAAUUGAUGUCUCACUCUCAUGCAGGUUAUGUAUCUUGCUGCUGAAAAGGAGAUGACGUUCCAAUGGCUGCCUCUUCCCAACAAAUGUAUUGUUGUGCAAAUGUCAACUGUUUGCUAUCUUGGUCUGGGUGGCACUACCACUGCCAAAGUAUAGAAGAACUGGGCUCCUCCUGCACAGUUUCGGUCUUAGGUGAAUCUUCUGGGGUUCAACUGGUGAUCCGAGAGGAUGGGCAUGAACAUAGUUCUUUGUCUCCAGAGCCACACUGGGAGCGGAAGCAUACUACUUUGUAUAGUAUAAACAAGAUGCUACCUCCAUAGGAACGAUAAUUAGUGCUGAAAUGCGAGCUUUUGCAUUAAGCAACAUUAUUGACAUUGUUGUUCAGCAAAAGGCACGAAAAAGAGUAAAAGCAAAGAAGAUUUCUCAGCAAUAGACGCUGGUGUAGAAGUUAUGUAGUAUUGUAGUUUCAGUUUGAUCUACAAAAUGAGUUAUUACCCGAAUAUCUUGCUGUAUGUAACAUAGUUUCCAUUUAGUAUGUUUGGAGAGUAUGUAAUGCAGCUGCAAGUAGUGCUAUCAUCAAUAAUGUAGCUACAAGUAGUGGUAUCAUGUAUAAUGCAUGUAGUGUAUAUAAUGAAAAACAUUAAUCAUGUUUA
This is a long non-coding RNA of Lolium perenne, 1769 nucleotides long. RefSeq lists it as uncharacterized. Lineage: Eukaryota; Viridiplantae; Streptophyta; Magnoliopsida; Poales; Poaceae. The record is from RefSeq and is a predicted model, not a curated record.